This 66-nucleotide transfer RNA is filed under the name Schistocephalus solidus. RNAcentral's name for it is "tRNA-Gly". The record is from RNAcentral. Lineage: Eukaryota; Metazoa; Platyhelminthes; Cestoda; Diphyllobothriidea; Diphyllobothriidae.
AUGUUAUUAGUAUAAAUUUAUUAUGUUACUUUUCCAAAGUAAAGAUCUAAAAGUUUAGGUAUCAUA